Molecule: ribosomal RNA, 253 nt
Filed under: uncultured bacterium
Lineage: Bacteria
Description: partial 16S ribosomal RNA
Rfam family: Bacterial small subunit ribosomal RNA
Source: RNAcentral
UACGAAGGGGGCUAGCGUUGUUCGGAAUUACUGGGCGUAAAGCGCACGUAGGCGGACAUUUAAGUCAGGGGUGAAAUCCCGGGGCUCAACCCCGGAACUGCCUUUGAUACUGGGUGUCUUGAGUCCGGAAGAGGUGAGUGGAAUUGCGAGUGUAGAGGUGAAAUUCGUAGAUAUUCGCAGGAACACCAGUGGCGAAGGCGGCCAACUGGAUCAUUACUGACGCUGAGGCGCGAAAGCGUGGGGAGCAAACAGG